GCUUACGGCCAUAUCAGCCUGGGUACGCCCGAUCUCGUCUGAUCUCGGAAGCUAAGCAGGGUCGGGCCUGGUUAGUACUUGGAUGGGAGACCGCCUGGGAAUACCACGUGCUGUAAGCA
RNAcentral lists this ribosomal RNA (119 nucleotides) under Salmo salar (Atlantic salmon). The record is from RNAcentral. Lineage: Eukaryota; Metazoa; Chordata; Actinopteri; Salmoniformes; Salmonidae.